GACGAACGCUGGCGGCGUGCUUAACACAUGCAAGUCGAACGGAAAGGCCCUGCUUUUGUGGGGUGCUCGAGUGGCGAACGGGUGAGUAACACGUGAGUAACCUGCCCUGGACUUUGGGAUAACUUCAGGAAACUGGGGCUAAUACCGGAUAGGAGCUCCUGCUGCAUGGUGGGGGUUGGAAAGUUUCGGCGGUUGGGGAUGGACUCGCGGCUUAUCAGCUUGUUGGUGGGGUAGUGGCUUACCAAGGCUUUGACGGGUAGCCGGCCUGAGAGGGUGACCGGCCAAAUUGGGAAUUAGAUACGGCCCAGACUCCUACGGGAGGCAGCAGUGGGGAAUAUUGCACAAUGGGCGGAAGCCUGAUGCAGCAACGCCGCGUGCGGGAUGACGGCCUUCGGGUUGUAAACCGCUUUCGCCUGUGACGAAGCGUGAGUGACGGUAAUGGGUAAAGAAGCACCGGCUAACUACGUG
This 468-nucleotide ribosomal RNA is filed under the name uncultured bacterium. RNAcentral describes it as "partial 16S ribosomal RNA". It matches the Rfam family "Bacterial small subunit ribosomal RNA", at positions 28 to 507 of the family's 1533-position model. The record is from RNAcentral.